This 2196-nucleotide ribosomal RNA is filed under the name Triticum aestivum (bread wheat). Its description in RNAcentral is "partial small subunit ribosomal RNA". The record is from RNAcentral. Lineage: Eukaryota; Viridiplantae; Streptophyta; Magnoliopsida; Poales; Poaceae.
AUGGGCAGCAAGACUAUUCAGGUGUCAGGGUUUCCUUCAACUGUCAAUGCUGACCAUGUCAAGGAUUUGUUGGAACAAAUUGUUGGUACUGGCAACGUCUUUGCGAUCAAGCUCAGGCCCCCAAAGAACAUCUCUGCAAACUCAAAAUCUUUUGCCAUUGUUCAGUUCCAGUCCGAGGCACAUGCUUCGCUGGUGUUGAAUGCGGCCCGACGGAAUGCACUUAGGAGUGGAAGUAAUCAUCUGAAGGCCCGAUAUGCAGAGCGUGACAUUGUUCCAAGACCAAGAACUACGAUUUUUAAUCUACAGGAUGCAACACUGCAUUUUGGCUGCCUUCUGAGGGAAAAAGCUCUAUCUGUUCUGUGGAGCGGAACAAAUGUUUCCGUUGAGUUUGGAUUUGCUAUGAAGAGGAUUGACUUUUGCCUGAUCUACAACUCGAAGAAAUACAAACUUGAACUCUCCUACGAGAGCAUAUGGGAGAUCCAGCUUCAUCGUCCACCUGGGUUGCAAAAAAAGUUCCUUCUGAUUCAGGUUCAAGCUGCCCCGAAAAUUUAUGAACAAAACAUACGCCGUUCUGGUUCUAUGUACGAUGAUCCUUUAUUCAACUAUUUUAGGGAUGAUACAGAUGACCAGUGGACCAGAACAACUGAUUUUACUCCAUCAGCCAGCAUUGGGCAAUCAUAUAUCCUAUGUCUGGAGCUACCACAUAUUUGUUAUCUCCCGAACAUCCGAGAGUACUUUGUUUACUAUGAAGUACACGAUGACGUCUUCCAUCUCCAGCGUGGACAUUCAUAUUCAAGCAAUACUUGCUUUGUUCCAGUUGUGAAAUCUCAUCAUUUCACUGACGUCCCCUACGAGAUACUCUUUAAGAUCAACCACUUGGUUCAGAAUGGGACACUUAGUGGGCCAACACUUGAUGACAACUUCUACCGUCUGGUCAGCCCAGGAUAUGAAUGUAUUGACCAUAUAAAGCGUGCACUUGAAAAGAUGUCAUACCUAAAAAAGACUUGUUUGAAUCCAACAAAGUGGUUAUCUGAACAAUACAAAAAAAAUCGGAGAUCACGCUACAUGUUAAAAUCACCAAACAUAACCCUGGAUGAUGAUGGGUUGGUAUAUGUCUACAGGGUGCAAAUUACCCCUGCGAAAGUGUACUUUUAUGGUCCUGAGAUUAAUGUCUCGAAUCGUGUUGUACGGCAUUACGCUGCUGAUUUGGAUAACUUCCUUCGGAUUUCGUUUGUUGAUGAGGACUGUGAGAAGCUUCGUUCAACUGAUUUAUCACAACGCUCUGCUCCAGGAAAUAAUACAAGGAGGACUGCUCUUUAUAACAGAGUUCUUUCGGUCCUUUCAAAUGGCAUCACUAUCGGUGACAAGCACUUUGACUUUCUGGCUUUUUCUUCAAGCCAGCUCCGAGAUAACUCUGCAUGGAUGUUUGCUUCUCGGCCGGGGUUAUCUGCCAGUGACAUCAGGGAGUGGAUGGGGGACUUCCGUAAUAUUAGAAAUGUGGCAAAGUAUGCUGCAAGGCUUGGUCAGUCUUUUAGUUCCUCAACAGAAACUUUGAAAGUGCAUAAGUACGAGGUGAAAGAAGCUCCAGAUGUAACAAACGGAACAAAGUAUGUAUUCUCGGAUGGAAUUGGAACCAUUUCAGCUGAUUUUGCAGAUGAAGUGUCUAAGAAGUGCAACUUGACCCGCUUUACUCCCUCCGCUUUCCAAAUAAGGUAUGGAGGUUACAAAGGUGUUGUCGCUAUUGAUCCAACAUCACGCUGGAAACUAUCUUUAAGAAAAAGCAUGUCAAAGUUUCAGUCAGAAAACAUUACACUUGAUGUCCUUGCAUACAGCAAGUACCAGCCAUGUUUCCUGAACCGGCAGUUAAUCACUCUUCUUUCGACACUCGGAGUCAGAGAUAGCAUAUUUGAACUGAAGCAACAAGAAGCUGUGAAGCAGUUGAACAGAAUGGUAGCUGAACCACAAGCUGCUAUUGAUGCAAUUGAGCUUAUGCCCAUGGGUGAGGUUACAAAUGUUGUUAAAGAGUUGCUGUUAUGUGGCUACCAGCCGGAUCUUGAACCAUAUGUUUCUAUGCUUCUACAAACCUUUAGAGCAUCCAAGCUGCUAGAAUUGAAAACGAGGUCAAGGAUAUUUGUCCCAAAAGGACGAGCAAUGAUGGGAUGCCUGGAUGAAACCCGCACACUGAAGUACGGAUAG